Molecule: long non-coding RNA, 321 nt
Filed under: Homo sapiens (human)
Lineage: Eukaryota; Metazoa; Chordata; Mammalia; Primates; Hominidae
Description: long non-coding RNA NONHSAT181095
Source: RNAcentral
GGUAAGAGGGCGCCGACUUACUCAUGUUCUGACGUCCUCUGGAGAGUUGGAUCGGGCUUGUGCGCUGUAGGUUGUGCCGCCGGCCUAGGAACCAUGAGGGGGAGGAGGCCAGGGACUGGGAGGCCUAGGGUGUUCUAGGAGUGUGCCGCAGCGCCCCUGUUCCCCAUCCGCCCCGUGCACCCGCCCAGCCUGCCCGCUAAACCUGGGUCCCCUCGCGCCUGCCAUAUAUCCGGGGCUCUUGGCAUCUGCAGCCACAGCCCCUACAAGCCAAGGUACUUUCUUUGCGACUACUAGAAUCCCUCUCGUUCCCCUCCAAUGGGC